GAGUUUGAUUAUGGCUCAGAUUGAACGCUGGCGGCAUGCUUUACACAUGCAAGUCGAACGGCAGCGGGGAAGUGCUUGCACUUCUGCCGGCGAGUGGCGAACGGGUGAGUAAUGCAUUGGAACGUACCGGGUAAUGGGGGAUAACUUGCCGAAAGGUAAGCUAAUACCGCAUACGCUCUUAGGAGGAAAGCGGGGGAUCGUUUGACCUCGCGUUAUCCGAGCGGCCAAUGUCUGAUUAGCUAGUUGGUGGGGUAAAAGCCUACCAAGGCAACGAUCAGUAGCGGGUCUGAGAGGAUGAUCCGCCACACUGGGACUGAGACACGGCCCAGACUCCUACGGGAGGCAGCAGUGGGGAAUUUUGGACAAUGGGCGCAAGCCUGAUCCAGCCAUGCCGCGUGUCUGAAGAAGGCCUUCGGGUUGUAAAGGACUUUUGUACGGGAAGAAAAAGUUGUGGUUAAUACCCAUGACUGA
Molecule: ribosomal RNA, 471 nt
Filed under: Conchiformibius steedae
Lineage: Bacteria; Pseudomonadati; Pseudomonadota; Betaproteobacteria; Neisseriales; Neisseriaceae
Description: bacterial SSU rRNA
Rfam family: Bacterial small subunit ribosomal RNA
Source: RNAcentral